ACACUGUUGGAUGCUGGGUCGCAGCCGUGUGGCCUGACUCAUUUAUAAUGUGGUCAGCUCAGGUCUACAGGUGGAAGGUCUUGGGUUUGAUGCCAGAUAUAAUCACGUUGGGCUUGCAAGUUUUUCUUAUCGGAGGCAGACAUGAAGACAGUGUUCAAAAACGUUUGUCUCUACAGCAGGACUGGCAAAUCAGGGUCCCACCAGUGCAUUAGAAGAAUGGUCGGGAUGGUUCCUGGCUGGAGAGUGAGUGGUGAAACUGCAAAAUCAAGUUGGAGCAGGCUCUCGGUGGAAGUCUUUUCUGAUCCCGUCACAGACAGACUGAAGAAAAUAUUAGUAAGUGCCGGCCAACCCCUGCUCCGACCAGAGGGGGAUGCUCUCCCCCUUGCAUCUCAAGGAAGCAUCUCAGGAGGAAUUCUGAUUUAGGACCCUUGGGGGCCUCCUGGGGAACUGGGGAUUUCUAAACCCAGUCUUGGUCUGUGAAGAGCCCCAGAGCAUCUUGUGGGUGGAACCUUAUGAAUAAUUGAUUAGGUUUCCUGUCUUUAUUCAUCAGAACCUAUUCAGGACCAAGACUCGGUAGGCGUCCUCAGUGAGGCAGGAAGACACACGAGAUAGAUAUCAAGCGCUUGGGUGGUGGGAAGCGGGUCAACACCAGAAGUUAAGGGUCCUAACUAGUCUUCCAGCGGAUGAUGAUUGCCAGCUGAGCUGCCAGUGGUGACUGGGGGCCUGAAGGCUCAGGAAGAGAAUCCUGAGCAGAGGGAAGGGCAGAAGGGAAAAGACCUCCGCUAGUGAAUCUGAACAUUUUCCUUGAAGCUCUCAUUGAAAAGUUUCAAUCAGGCUGAAUUUUAUAUUUUUAGGAAGUCCUAUUACCCUGGAGGCAACCCAUGUUGCCUACCGUUCUAUCAAACACUGAUAGAUAGCCAUCUAUCAAGCCAUCAGGCCAUCAGGCACUGCAGCCAUCAAGCCUUCAGGCACUGCAGCUUCCCUGUUGUGUACUCUAAGGGGAAUUCAGAAUGGAUAAAAAACAGGAUAUUGGCCCUAGAUAGUUAAGAUGCAUGUCAAAGGAAUAAUUUCAAUAAUUUCAAUGACGAUUGCAUCAUCCCAUACUUAGGAAAGCACUAAAAUAAUUAACUUGAGAUGUAUGUUUUUCUAUGUUUAGCAGUAAUCUUUUAAUGUUCAAUUAUAUUUUUUUUUCCCCUCCAGAAAAAAUCCCUAUAUAUCCUGGGUCCUGCCUUACUUUCUUUGAAACAGUUCCUCAGAGCUACCUGAGAGUCUGCUUCUCUGGCUGGUCUUCAGUCAAGUCCUUGAAUAAAAUGUGACUCGUAAGUUGUCGGUUGUGUGUG
RNAcentral lists this long non-coding RNA (1340 nucleotides) under Bos indicus x Bos taurus (hybrid cattle). RNAcentral's name for it is "lncRNA (ENSBIXG00005025954.1)". Lineage: Eukaryota; Metazoa; Chordata; Mammalia; Artiodactyla; Bovidae. The record is from RNAcentral.